AAAUAAUAGCUGUUUGUAUUUUGGCUGCUGCAGGAGCCAUUUUAGUUGUCAAAUUUAAAAGUUUUGAAUCACUCCCCAAUGUCUGAUGCCUCUGUCAAUUUUGACUACAAAUCUCCAUCCCCAUUUGACUGCACCACUGAUCAAGAAGAGAAAAUUGAAGAUGUUGCUAGUCACUGUCUGCCUCAGAAGGACCUGUAUACUGCUGAAGAGGAAGCUGCUACCCUUUUUCCUAGGAAAAUGACGUCCCAUAAUGGGAUGGAGGACAGUGGAGGAGGAGGUACUGGAGUGAAGAAGAAACGGAAGAAAAAGGAGCCAGGAGACCAAGAGGGUGCAGCAAAGGGAAGCAAGGACAGAGAGCCCAAGCCAAAGAGGAAACGAGAACCGAAAGAGCCAAAGGAACCCAGGAAGGCCAAGGAGCCGAAAAAGGCCAAGGAGCACAAGGAGCCGAAGCAAAAAGAUGGGGCAAAAAAGGCACGGAAGCCCCGGGAGGCCUCGGGCACCAAGGAGGCCAAAGAGAAGAGGAGCUGCACUGACUCUGCAGCCAGGACGAAGUCCAGAAAGGCCAGCAAGGAGCAAGGACCAACCCCAGUGGAGAAAAA
Molecule: small RNA, 599 nt
Filed under: Pongo abelii (Sumatran orangutan)
Lineage: Eukaryota; Metazoa; Chordata; Mammalia; Primates; Hominidae
Description: processed transcript
Source: RNAcentral